CAGCCGCCGCGGGAAUACGUAGGUGGCAAGCGUUGUCCGGAAUUAUUGGGCGUAAAGGGCUCGCAGGCGGUUUCUUAAGUCUGAUGUGAAAGCCCCCGGCUCAACCGGGGAGGGUCAUUGGAAACUGGGAAACUUGAGUGCGGAAGAGGAGAGUGGAAUUCCACGUGUAGCGGUGAAAUGCGUAGAGAUGUGGAGGAACACCAGUGGCGAAGGCGACUCUCUGGUCUGUAACUGACGCUGAGGAGCGAAAGCGUGGGGAGCGAACAGGAUUAGAUACCCCUGUAGUCCCUGUCUCUUAUAC
RNAcentral lists this ribosomal RNA (301 nucleotides) under uncultured bacterium. RNAcentral describes it as "partial 16S ribosomal RNA". It matches the Rfam family "Bacterial small subunit ribosomal RNA", at positions 509 to 807 of the family's 1533-position model. The record is from RNAcentral.